GUACUGAUGAAGAGUCCCAAACUAGGACGAAACGAUUGGCCGUCCAGUAC
Molecule: non-coding RNA, 50 nt
Filed under: Trichobilharzia regenti
Lineage: Eukaryota; Metazoa; Platyhelminthes; Trematoda; Strigeidida; Schistosomatidae
Source: RNAcentral